AGGGUUCGAUCAUGGCUCAGGAUGAACGCUAGCGGCAGGCCUAACACAUGCAAGUCGAGGGGUAACAGGGAGAAGCUUGCUUCUCCGCUGACGACCGGCGCACGGGUGAGUAACGCGUAUGCAACCUACCUCUUACUGGGGUAUAGCCCAGAGAAAUUUGGAUUAACCCCCCAUAGUACCAUGAUAUCGCAUGAUAUUUUGGUUAAAGGUUACGGUAAGAGAUGGGCAUGCGUCCCAUUAGUUAGUUGGUGAGGUAAUGGCUCACCAAGACUUCGAUGGGUAGGGGUUCUGAGAGGAUGAUCCCCCACACUGGUACUGAGACACGGACCAGACUCCUACGGGAGGCAGCAGUGAGGAAUAUUGCGCAAUGGACGAAAGUCUGACGCAGCCAUGCCGCGUGCAGGAUGACGGCGCUACGCGUUGUAAACUGCUUUUAUUUACAAAGAAACCUCGGGACGUGUCCCGAGCUGACGGUAGUAUUUGAAUAAGCACCGGCUAACUCCGUGCCAGCA
Molecule: ribosomal RNA, 512 nt
Filed under: uncultured Flavobacteriaceae bacterium
Lineage: Bacteria; Pseudomonadati; Bacteroidota; Flavobacteriia; Flavobacteriales; Flavobacteriaceae
Description: bacterial SSU rRNA
Rfam family: Bacterial small subunit ribosomal RNA
Source: RNAcentral